GGAAUUUUCCGCAAUGGGCGAAAGCCUGACGGAGCAACGCCGCGUGAGGGAUGAAGGCCUCUGGGCUGUAAACCUCUUUUAUCGAGGAAGAAGAUCUGACGGUACUUGAUGAAUAAGCCACGGCUAAUUCCGUGCCAGCAGCCGCGGUAAUACGGGAGUGGCAAGCGUUAUCCGGAAUUAUUGGGCGUAAAGCGUCCGCAGGCGGUCUGUCAAGUCUGCUGUUAAAGCGUGGAGCUUAACUCCAUUUCGGCAGUGGAAACUGACAGACUAGAGUGUGGUAGGGGCAGAGGGAAUUCCCGGUGUAGCGGUGAAAUGCGUAGAUAUCGGGAAGAACACCAGUGGCGAAGGCGCUCUGCUGGGCCAUAACUGACGCUCAUGGACGAAAGCCAGGGGAGCGAAAGGGAUUAGAUACCCCAGUAGUC
Molecule: ribosomal RNA, 422 nt
Filed under: uncultured cyanobacterium
Lineage: Bacteria; Bacillati; Cyanobacteriota
Description: bacterial SSU rRNA
Rfam family: Bacterial small subunit ribosomal RNA
Source: RNAcentral